Myodes glareolus (Bank vole) is the source of this 3911-nucleotide long non-coding RNA. RefSeq lists it as uncharacterized. NCBI's taxonomy places the organism in Eukaryota, Metazoa, Chordata, Mammalia, Rodentia, Cricetidae. The record is from RefSeq and is a predicted model, not a curated record.
ACCACGGUACUAAGCAAAUCAGUUCCUAAGUCAUGAAAAGAAGGAUGCAUCCCAGAGACCUCUCUUUAGGAUUAGAAUGCCAGUGGAAAAGAUGAGCAGUUAAAUUAAGAAAAAUAUUUUUAAAAUAAAACGAAGCAACACUUACACUGCUGUAUGCCCCACAUACACAUAAAUAAAAAUAAACUUUUUAAAUUAAAGUAAAAGUAAGGGGCCUGAGAGAUAGCUCCGUGGUCAAGAGUACUUAUUCCACUUGCAGGAGGCCCAAACUGCAGGAGUUCCCAGCAUACAUGUUGGGCUGGGCAGCACACAGCUGUCUGUAACUUCCACUUCAGAGCACACAGCUCUCUUUUCUGGCAUCCCUGGGCAGCUGCACACAUGCAGUCUCCUCAGGAAUACAUUAAAAACAACGCCUUUAAAAAUGCUUUAAGAUAAAAACUUAGAGGGUUAGAGUUGUAUCUUUAAAAAAAGGUCCUUACCGUACCCUAAGUGGCAGCUCCUGUCAGGAUGGGAGACCAUUCCUCAAUGUGUUCCACGUGAGAACUGAGUUGUGAGGCUAUGACCUCUGCCUAGGAGAAACUCAGUUCCCAGGAAAUGAUGGAGACGCCCUAAUAUUACAGGUCUCAGGCCUACAGCUGCUCACUCACCUUCCCCGCUUGUCUCCACCCUCUGUGUUCCACACAUUUUCUGCUGGCCUCCUUCUGGUCUGUCUAUUCAUUGACCAGUUUCUACUGAGCACCUAGGAUGCGCUCAGAGCCAGACAUAGACAUGGCAGAGGCACACUCCUGGAGAGACCUGGGAGCGAAGAGGUCCUGUAGUACUAUCAUAUCACAGUAGAUUACACAUACAGAAAGACACGUGUGUAGGGCAUUGACAGGAAGCUCCUGCUGGACUUUGAAUACUUUCUCUUGUCCGCUUCUGCUGGGAUUUGGUUGCUGUCAUGAUGGCACUGAGAGGUGAGGCUCUUCAAAGUCAACAAUGCAGUUCUCGUGGGACUAGAUGAGCUACCUCAAGAGAGGGUUCCACGUAGAGACAGCCUCCUAUUUCACCCUACAACACGCACCCGCAUGUCAUCCACUUUCUGCCAAGGGUUGAAGCACAAAGUGUUUACCUGGACCAUGCUUUUGGCUUUCUAAGCUUCUAGAACCCCGAACCAAUUAAUCCCUAUUCUCUACAAGUUACCCAGUCAAGAGAUGGCUCAGUGCCUCAGAGCCCUGACUGCCUUCCAAAGGACUUGGGUUCAAUUCCCAGCACCUAGAUGGUAGCUCACACCCAUUGGAAUCUCCAGUCCUAGGGAAUCUGAUACCCUCUUCCAGCAUCCAAGGACAUUGCACGCACGUAGUGUACUGGCAUACGUGCGAGCAAAACACAGAGAGAAAAAUAUUGUUACUGGAAUUGCCUAGUCUCAGGUGUUUGGUUAUAGCAAACAGACUGAAACCAUUCCUACUUCUUGAGGGAGGGAACUGAAGAGUUAGAGGGCCACAGGCCCAGACAUAUUAACAGUGUUUUACCAGGAUUACCGGGGAGACAGGAAUAAAAAGAAAAGGAGACCACACCAGGAGCAGAGUGAUCUAGGAUCCAUUUUUUCCACACCAUUACACAGAAAAUCAAGCUCUAUAGCCUUGGGGCCACAAGCAGGUGGAGGUGUGCCAGGAGAACCCUAAGAUUCUCUGUUCAAGAUUCCUCUCCCAGGCACAUACACACCUGUAUAAUCAACCCCCAACUCUUGAUGAUGAGCAAGGAGUUUGAAUAUGAUGCAAUUCCAUGGCCUAUCUUGGCGUAUAUGUAGAAGAGAUUUUGUGGAUGUAAUUAAGACCCCUAAUCAGCCGACUUGGAGUUAAUUAAGGUAAGGACUUUCCUGGGUGGUCCUGACCUAAUCAUGAAAACAAUUUAACCGGAAGUGGCAGUCCAUAGGGACAAGCAGCUCCAGGGAUGGCCCAAAAGAAAUGACUUGUGCAGAAGGCCCUGAACCAGAAAUGGCAGGUAGCCUGUCAUAGUUGGAAUUAAAUCUGCAGUUGUGACCAGUCGUGACCCAAACCUUGAUGUCCCCCAGUGAGAUCCUCAGCAGAGGCUAGCGUCUCCCUGGGCUCCUGAUCUGCAUCAGACAAAAAGCACCGAGGUUGUUCCAAACUGCAUUUGAGGUCACUAAUUGCAAAGCAAUCAAGCAGCACUGUGCUCGAAGGGGUAGCCGUGCAGAGCGGAAGUGGAUAUAAUCACUAGAGCCCUAGAGAAGCUGGACGACGAGGAACCCUCCCAGCUUCGAGACUCGUAACAACACCACAAAACAGAAGACUCCUGGGAGGUUUCAUAGCUAGUGAAUCACUUUGAUGUUUGCAACUGGAACUAUGCUGUUGUUUUUAACACUGGAAAUCAUCAGAAGUUACAUGAGAUGCACAAGGGAAAUAGCUUUAAAAAGAAAAUCUUCCAUGAUCUUUUUCCAUGAUCUUUUUACAUGAUCUCUAAAGGCCCUGAGUCUUCACUAGUGGGAAAAAACGAAAUAUUUUUAAUAUCAAAUUUUAUGAAAAUUUGAAGUAGACUGAGCAAUAAAAAUGCUGGGCACUCACUCUAUGGGAGAAGGAUAGCACAAUGUCACUGUCGUGUCUACACAUGGACGCAAACUCAGGCCUACAGAUAUGAGUACAGAAGGACAUAUAUGAGCACAGAAGCAUCCAAAAAGACCGCAAAGUGUUACUGCCUCCAAGAAUGAAAAAUCAGCUAAUCCCAAGGUGGUCAGACCGCAGCCUGAACCCUUGAAGCAAGAGCGAUCUUCCCAAGAGAACUCAUAACUAACUGAGAAGUUCUGAAGUUGAACUCAGAGUCACCUCCAGAACCGAGCAUUUGGACAGGGAGGAGCACACUCCAGACCCUGUGAACUGCAAACAAUAACCUGAUGCCGAGUACCUAGAAACUAGGGAAAGGGCAGUGGAGGCAACAAGGGUAAGGAUGGACACCUACUGAGUUCCUCUGGGUAGCAGGACCUUCCCCACACACCAAAGGGAUGUAUGUGAUUACCAGACCUAAGCAAGGUCCACUCUGUUUCCCUUGCUUUAACUUAGAAGAUCGGCAGGAGGAGAUAGGUAGGAGGAAAGAAACUGAAAGCAGAAGGUAAGGAACCUGGCAGGAAGUAACCCUGGAUGCUUUGCACUAAAACAAGCAGAUUCAAUCCCAGGCCUUGGGGAACAGAGACGGGCAGGUCUCUGUCCGUUCAAAGCCAGCCUGGUCUAUGCUGCUAGUUCCAAGCUAACCAGAACUUCACAGCAAGAACCUGUCUUAAAAUGAAAUGUAAUUCCCACCCUACCCCCAGAGGAGGAAGGAGAGAUGCUGCCCCUCACCGUCUCCUGAGAAAGGAGAGGGGCCUUCUGUACUCACAUGGAAGUGGCUUCCAGCUCCGCUCCGAGCCACAGGCAGCAGUGGUGGUCAGUGCAGAACAAGGCAAGAGGACCCUGCUCCCCUAAAGCUAUCUCUAAUCCCCACGAGUCAGUCUUACACUCCCGACUCCCCGUCCUGGUCAGAGGAGCAUGCUCUGGAAAUGAUCCCUGCCUCGCCUGGAGUCCAGGCGACAAGUCUGAGCCCAUUUUGAAGCAAGGGUGAAUGAGGGGAUGGGGUUAGGGGCUAAAAGGGGGCAGGGAAAAUGUUGGGAGCCUGGAAGAUUCUAGCCAUGUUGUGUUGCUACAGCUAAACAACUCUCCAAGGCUGGACAAAGUACAACAAGCAAGGCAAAUGCCUGGGGAAAGUACCAGUGAUGCUAGGGCUCAAUUUCUUAAGAUAAUGUGCUGGCUAGUUUUAUAGCAACUUGACACAAGCUAGAGUCAUAGAAGAGGAGCAAGCCUCGAUUAAGAAAAUGAUUCCAGGGCUGGAGAGAUGGCUCAGCGGUUAAGGGCAUUGCCUGCUCCUCCAAAGGUCCUGAGUUCAAU